UACGGGGGGGGCAAGCGUUGUUCGGAAUUACUGGGCGUAAAGGGCUCGUAGGUGGCCAACUAAGUCAUACGUGAAAUCCCUCGGCUUAACCGGGGAACUGCGUCUGAUACUGGAUGGCUUGAGUUUGGGAGAGGGAUGCGGAAUUCCAGGUGUAGCGGUGAAAUGCGUAGAUAUCUGGAGGAACACCGGUGGCGAAGGCGGCAUCCUGGACCAAUACUGACACUGAGGAGCGAAAGCCAGGGGAGCAAACGGG
This 253-nucleotide ribosomal RNA is filed under the name uncultured bacterium. RNAcentral describes it as "partial 16S ribosomal RNA". It matches the Rfam family "Bacterial small subunit ribosomal RNA", at positions 524 to 776 of the family's 1533-position model. The record is from RNAcentral.